Molecule: ribosomal RNA, 245 nt
Filed under: uncultured bacterium
Lineage: Bacteria
Also listed under: 1 other name
Description: partial 16S ribosomal RNA
Rfam family: Bacterial small subunit ribosomal RNA
Source: RNAcentral
UACGAAGGGGGCUAGCGUUGCUCGGAAUUACUGGGCGUAAAGGGAGCGUAGGCGGAUAGUUUAGUCAGAGGUGAAAGCCCAGGGCUCAACCUUGGAAUUGCCUUUGAUACUGGCUAUCUUGAGUACGGAAGAGGUAUGUGGAACUCCGAGUGUAGAGGUGAAAUUCGUAGAUAUUCGGAAGAACACCAGUGGCGAAGGCGACAUACUGGUCCGUUACUGACGCUGAGGCUCGAAAGCGUGGGGAG